UGUAUCAGCCGCAUUUUUUCCCUAACCGGCACACCUUUCGGUUCUUCAAAAUCCUUUUUAUUUCUUCAACCGCCACAUCAUUCGAAUCUCCAAAUCUUAAACGUUCGUCAACUGAAACGAAAUUUAUAUCCCGUUACUAUCUCCUAAUUUCGUUCUCUGUUGUUCAAAUUCAUUCUGAUAUUGCAGCCCUUCACUCACGCUCGAAUUCGACAUCGCUUCACUCACGCUCGACAUCAAACAAAUUAGAACACAAUUGAUUGCGAUUUGCAUAUGGCGAUAUCAGAGGCCAAUUUUACGGCGAUUCACGUAGAUCAAUUGAUGGCGAUUCGAAGAGAAAACAGGGCAAUGGUCCUAAUGGUUUGUAGAGGCGAAUUUGUUUUUAACGAAUUCGAAGAAGAGUGAAGAAUGAUCAAUAUGCUUCAACUAUCGAUGGUAUAUGAAGUUGAUCUAAUUAUAAAUCCAUGAUUCAAUCUACAAUGGUAGACUAUUAAAUCAUCUGCGUUUUCUGUUUUCUAUAAUCCCCGUUCUUUUUCUCUUGAGUUGCAAUUAGUGUAACAAUUUCACGAUUCAGACGAUUGAAUUCUAUGCAGAAAAUUUCAAUUGAAAUCAAGUAAGAAUCAAAUUUUCAAUUGAAAUGAACUCUUUUUUGAAUGAUUAAAAUAAUAGUUGGAAUCAA
Long non-coding RNA from Helianthus annuus (common sunflower), 676 nucleotides. RefSeq lists it as uncharacterized. NCBI's taxonomy places the organism in Eukaryota, Viridiplantae, Streptophyta, Magnoliopsida, Asterales, Asteraceae. The record is from RefSeq and is a predicted model, not a curated record. The transcript has 2 exons.